CCUACGGGAGGCAGCAGUGAGGAAUAUUGGUCAAUGGACGAGAGUCUGAACCAGCCAAGUAGCGUGAAGGAUGACUGCCCUAUGGGUUGUAAACUUCUUUUAUAAAGGAAUAAAACGAGGCACGUGUGCCUUUUUGCAUGUACUUUAUGAAUAAGGAUCGGCUAACUCCGUGCCAGCAGCCGCGGUAAUACGGAGGAUCCGAGCGUUAUCCGGAUGUAUUGGGUUUAAAGGGAGCGUAGGUGGAUUGUUAAGUCAGUUGUGAAAGUUUGCGGCUCAACCGUAAAAUUGCAGUUGAAACUGGCAGUCUUGAGUACAGUAGAGGUGGGCGGAAUUCGUGGUGUAGCGGUGAAAUGCUUAGAUAUCACGAAGAACUCCGAUUGCGAAGGCAGUUCACUGGACUGCAACUGACACUGAGGCUCGAAAGUGUGGGUAUCAAACAGGAUUAGAUACCCUUGUAGUC
This 460-nucleotide ribosomal RNA is filed under the name uncultured bacterium. RNAcentral's name for it is "partial 16S ribosomal RNA". It matches the Rfam family "Bacterial small subunit ribosomal RNA", at positions 338 to 795 of the family's 1533-position model. The record is from RNAcentral.